Thalassophryne amazonica is the source of this 293-nucleotide long non-coding RNA. RefSeq lists it as uncharacterized. The transcript has 2 exons. NCBI's taxonomy places the organism in Eukaryota, Metazoa, Chordata, Actinopteri, Batrachoidiformes, Batrachoididae. The record is from RefSeq and is a predicted model, not a curated record.
AGGAGAGGAGAGGAGAAGCAGAUAAGAGAAGAGAGGAAGACAGCAGAGGUGAGGAGAUGAAGACAGGAGAGGAAGAGCAGAUGAGAAGAGAGGAAGACAAGAGAAAGAAGAGAAGAGAGGAACUAAUGUCAGUUGUGAGAUGUUCAUUUGGUUUUGAAGUUACAGAACUGACAAUUCUAGCAUGACACUGAACUGAUAAAGUUUUCAUUUAAAGUUUGUUAUACAUGCUUAUUUACUGUAUUAUCAGUUGACAAAGAGAAAAUUCUUCAAAAUAAAAUGCCUAAUUUAUUCUU